Molecule: long non-coding RNA, 168 nt
Organism: Jaculus jaculus (lesser Egyptian jerboa)
Lineage: Eukaryota; Metazoa; Chordata; Mammalia; Rodentia; Dipodidae
Exons: 3
Source: RefSeq, a predicted model, not a curated record
GAGGCACAGAACUGCACUGUUUAAAUGGUUACAGGAAUGGAGUACUGGAGGACAGGUGAAAGUCUUGGAAGACAAACAAAUCAAGAAGAAUGUGAGAGGAUUUGAAAUUGUGGCCUAAGAGAUCCCUUGAAGUGCUAUUAACAAAUUCGCACCCUAUCUGGUAUUAUG